UUAGCAUAUCAAUAAGCGGAGGAAAAGAAACCAACAGGGAUUCCCCUAGUAACGGCGAGUGAAGCGGGAACAGCUCAAAUUUGAAAUCUGGCCCUUGGGUCCGAGUUGUAAUUUGCAGAGGAUGCUUUUGGUGCGGUGCCUUCCGAGUUCCCUGGAACGGGACGCCUUAGAGGGUGAGAGCCCCGUACGGUUGGCCACCAAGCCUGUGUAAAGCUCCUUCGACGAGUCGAGUAGUUUGGGAAUGCUGCUCAAAAUGGGAGGUAUAUUUCUUCUAAAGCUAAAUACUGGCCAGAGACCGAUAGCGCACAAGUAGAGUGAUCGAAAGAUGAAAAGCACUUUGAAAAGAGGGUUAAAUAGCACGUGAAAUUGUUGAAAGGGAAGGAUUUAUGACCAGACUUUUUCUGGGGGGAUCAUCCGGUGUUCUCACCGGUGCACUUCCCCCAGUUGAGGCCAGCAUCGGUUUCUGCCGGGGGAUAAAAGCUUUGGGAAUGUGGCUCCUUCGGGAGUGUUAUAGCCCGUUGCAUAAUACCCUGGCGGGGACCGAGGUUCGCGCAUUGCAAGGAUGCUGGCGUAAUGGUUAUUAAUCACCCGUCUUGAAACACGGACCAAGGAGUCGAACAUUUGUGCGAGUGUUUGGGUGUUAAACCCUCACGCGUAAUGAAAGUGAACGGAGGUGAGAGCCUUUAGGGGUGCAUCAUCGACCGAUCCUGAUGUCUUCGGAUGGAUUUGAGUAAGAGCAUAACUGUUCGGACCCGAAAGAUGGUGAACUAUGCGUGGAUAGGGUGAAGCCAGAGGAAACUCUGGUGGAGGCUCGCAGCGGUUCUGACGUGCAAAUCGAUCGUCAAAUCUGCGCAUGGGGGCGAAAGACUAAUCGAACCAUCUAGUAGCUGGUUACCGCCGAA
This 902-nucleotide ribosomal RNA is filed under the name Apiospora arundinis. Its description in RNAcentral is "eukaryotic LSU rRNA". It matches the Rfam family "Eukaryotic large subunit ribosomal RNA", at positions 35 to 965 of the family's 3401-position model. Lineage: Eukaryota; Fungi; Ascomycota; Sordariomycetes; Amphisphaeriales; Apiosporaceae. The record is from RNAcentral.